GCGAUCAGGAAGACCCUCGCGGAGAACCUGAAAGCACGACAUUGCUCACAUUGCUUCCAGUAUUACUUAG
RNAcentral lists this non-coding RNA (70 nucleotides) under Cloning vector pASRR. The record is from RNAcentral.